Molecule: ribosomal RNA, 239 nt
Filed under: uncultured Lactobacillus sp.
Lineage: Bacteria; Bacillati; Bacillota; Bacilli; Lactobacillales; Lactobacillaceae
Description: partial 16S ribosomal RNA
Rfam family: Bacterial small subunit ribosomal RNA
Source: RNAcentral
AACCUGCCCAAGAGAUCGGGAUAACACCUGGAAACAGAUGCUAAUACCGGAUAACAACAGAUGAUGCCUAUCAACUGUUUAAAAGAUGGUUCUGCUAUCACUCUUGGAUGGACCUGCGGUGCAUUAGCUAGUUGGUAGGGUAACGGCCUACCAAGGCGAUGAUGCAUAGCCGAGUUGAGAGACUGAUCGGCCACAUUGGGACUGAGACACGGCCCAAAAUCCUACGGGAGGCAGCAGUU